This 481-nucleotide ribosomal RNA is filed under the name uncultured bacterium. RNAcentral describes it as "bacterial SSU rRNA". It matches the Rfam family "Bacterial small subunit ribosomal RNA", at positions 30 to 510 of the family's 1533-position model. The record is from RNAcentral.
AUUGAACGCUGGCGGCAUGCCUUACACAUGCAAGUCGAACGGCAGCACGGGUGCUUGCACCUGGUGGCGAGUGGCGAACGGGUGAGUAAUAUAUCGGAACGUACCUUAUCGUGGGGGAUAACGCAGCGAAAGCUGCGCUAAUACCGCAUACGCCCUGAGGGGGAAAGCGGGGGACCGUAAGGCCUCGCGCGAUUAGAGCGGCCGAUAUCUGAUUAGCUUGUUGGUGGGUAAAAGCCCACCAAGGCGACGAUCAGUAGCUGGUCUGAGAGGACGAUCAGCCACACUGGGACUGAGACACGGCCCAGACUCCUACGGGAGGCAGCAGUGGGGAAUUUUGGACAAUGGGGGGCAACCCUGAUCCAGCAAUGCCGCGUGAGUGAAGAAGGCCUGGUGUAAGNUCUUUGUCAGGAGAAACAGACAGCUCUAACACAGUCUGCGAAUGACGGUACCUGAAGAAUAAGCACCGGCUAACUACGUAGCC